ACAACGUAUUCUUGCCAAAAAAUCUGAGCCUUAGAUGUAAUCGGUUCCGCUGAUGCCGCCAUUUCAAAUCGAAAUAUAGGGACAGGGUAUAUAUAAUAUUUUUUACAUUUUUUAUUUGCAAAUCUUUUUAUAUUUUCUUUUUAUUUAGAGUACGUAUCUAUAUUUAGUUGUAUUUCUGGACCUCAAUAGUCUUCAUAACCAGUAAGAUGGACGCAGAUACAGAGCAGGUGACGGACAACACAGAAACUUCCCAAGAUGCAUCUGAGGAGCCAAUAUCAGAAAACAAAUCCAGGGGUCGUGGUGGGUUCAAAGGGCGUGGCCAGGGGUUCCGGAUUGGUCGAGGAGGCAUGCAUGGUGGGCGGGGCCUGAUGAUGAAAGGAUUUGGCCCACCCGGACGAGGCAGGGGGGAUAGAGGACGGGGUGGGGACAUGAAUGGGUUUGGACCCAUGAGGAGAGGGAUGGGGAGGAUGCGGCCGUACCCAGACAUGAGGGGCAGGAGAGGAGGGAGGGUCGCUCUGAUGGGGAGGGCCGGGCCUAUGGGGAGGGGCGGUCUGAUGGGGAGGGGCGGUCUGAUGGGGAGGGGCGGGGUCUGGGGGGGAGGGGCGGUCCGAUGGGGAGGGGCGGUCCUAUGGGAAGGGGCGGUCCUAUAGGGAGAGGCGGACCUAUGGGCAUGGGUCCUCCUCCACCCCCACCCAUGCACCUGAGAGGCCCCUACCCACCAAUGCACAGACACGGCCCCCCUCCUCCUCCCCCCCUGGGCCACCCUGGUUUUAGAGGGCACCCACCACACCCCAGAGGAAGAGGCAUGUCCCCCGGACCCCCACGCCACUUCCACCCCAGGGGCCCCAGAGGCUACCACAAUGGACCAGCUUCUCCUCCUCAUCAUCCCCCACCUGGCAGAGGCCAGAGGUGGCCAGGGCCCCCUGGUGGCCGACGGUUUUAACGCAGCCUGCCCUAAAAUAAUACAGUAACAGAGAGCUUUACAGUCUAUAGCAGCAAGCCUACUGGGCUGGGGUGGCUAAACUGAGCUAAGAGCACCUUAAUAUGUGUCAUAAAAAGAAGACCCCUUUUUAAACAUCCUUAUGGAACACCCUGUAGCCAAAUAUCUGGAUAUUGAUAUCGUAUACCAGAGGAGAAGAUGUGAAUCAACAAGUGGACACUUAAAUGCCUCAGACCUUAACAGUACAUAAAGGCAUUCUCACUUUCAUUGUAACUUUUGUUAUUAGAAAAAAAUGUGCUCUUGGUAUUAGGACAAAGUUGUAUAGUAUUGAGAGAAUGAAAAUAUGAUUAAAAAAAGAGUCCCAAAGGGAUGAUAAGUGUUGAUAUUCAAAUCCCUUAGAUGUCAUGUGGUCUUGUGGUGGUCACUCUGUGAACCUUAAGGAAUAUCUGACACUAAUAAAAAGAGAAAUGACACAUUGUGUGUGAGUGAGAAAGAAAAGAAGGUGAGAAAGAAAGAAAGAAAGAAAAAAGAAAGCAAUGUGCAACAGCCCUCAAGCACCAGUUACUAGCACUAGUUUCUUACACCUUGGACCUCCCUAACUUUCCCUUUUGUUACAUGGAUAUACUUUUGUAUUACAACUUCACCAAGCAGUACACAACUACAGCAAAAGCUGUUUAGACUCACAUACACAUUCUUAAGUGAAAGACAAUAUUUUUCAUGUCAAGUAUUCAUGAUUAUUUUACGUGACAUUUUUAUAUGAUUAAUGUGCAGCUAUUUUAAGUUAAUGCAUAUUGCUAUUUGGAACAAUUCAUGCUUGUGUUCAGCAAUCUAUAUUGUGGAAUGACUAAAGAACUUAAAUUAAUACUAUAUUGAAAUAAUAUAACAAAUAUAUAGUAUAUAUACUAGCAGCAUUUACAGUAUAUUUCAAAGCAAAUUACGAAACAAGUAAUUGCUUCAGUUUAGUCUAAGAUACUUACUAUUCAGUGUGUUAAGUUUUGAAGUGUUAUCAUACGUUAUACUUACUGUAACUGACAUAACUUUGUGGAUUUGUGGAUGUACUUUUGGAAAACAGUAACAACUAUGACGUAGUCGUGAAGGAAAAAAAUAAAAGUAAAACUUAACUGAA
This is a non-coding RNA of Salvelinus sp. IW2-2015, 2066 nucleotides long. The record is from RefSeq and is a predicted model, not a curated record. NCBI's taxonomy places the organism in Eukaryota, Metazoa, Chordata, Actinopteri, Salmoniformes, Salmonidae.